UAUCUAUCUAUCUAUCUAUCUAUCUAUCUAUCUAUCUAUCUAUGUCUGUCUGUCUGUCUGUCUGUCUGUCUGUCUGUCUGUCUAAUCUUUUUAGUGUUUUUGUGGAGAAUUUGUUUCCAAAAGCAGCAGCCAAGUCAUUUCUGGCAAAGAGGCAACAAUUAAUUGAAUUAAAGAAAAAUCUAGAAUUGGCCUCUCUGAACUAGCAGUAGUAUGUUGCCAACAUGUACUCCAACCAAUACGCCCAAAUAUGUUAGGUCGUUUGUCACUUCCCUGAAAUACUAAAGUUUACUAAAGUUGCGCCCCUGUCGACAACAGGGCACUUUCAUUUUAAUCAAUUAUCACUUUCAAUUUAUCAAUUAUCAAUUGGUAGAGCAUUGCAAUAUACAGCAAUAUAGAUAACCUAAGGGUAGGUUUAGGGUUGGGGUAGGGGUAGUCUGAUCAACAGAACCAACCAUCCUAACAGUCUUGCGAUUUGGAUGGAAAACCCAUGAAAAAAUAUAUCAUACUUGAAAUGUUGACUUUACUGGCUACUUGCAAAUAAUCAAAGAAAAAAAUUGGAAAAUGAUAACAAAAAUCAUGAGAGGUCAGCUGAUACACACAGCAUACCCAUAGGGUUGUUGCUUAGGGUCUGGGACCAAAAAAAGCUUGCGGCAUUUGCCAGGUGGGAAACAGUUAGAGGAGCUCCAUAUGCUAGCUGUAGCUGUGUUCUCCAGAGACUUCAAUUAGAGCCAUCCCUCAGGGUGUGAAAGCCACACCAAUAUGCUGCUGUGUUACACCAAUUAAGCCCUGGUCAACCUUAUCUUGUGAUCAUAAUGCAUUUUACACAGCCAAAAGUCAAGUUUAAAGCCCUUUUCUGGAAGGAUAUGAGGAAUGAUGGUUUUUUUAAGAGUAAUACUAAUGCCAAGCUCCAAAUAAACCCACUGAUACAACUAGAGAUGUUCGAGUGCAGGUAAUUAAUCCUUGAGUGUAAUUAUAUGGCUUGCUAUUAUGAAGGUGAUCAUCUAGGCUGGAUUACAUGAGAACUCAAUUUUACAGUACUUCUUGAAGAGAAGCAAUUACACCCCUGGUGAAACUGUAGUAAUAUUACAGCGUUUCUUUAACAUUAAGUUGGUCACCACUCAUGUUGUGUAUACUGAAUGUUUCUAAAUGUUUCAUUUAUUUUCUGUUGAAAGACUUUAUUACUAACAAAAUCUUUGUUUAAUGUGAUCUCUAGAUUCCUUUAAAUGUUCAGAAGAAGCCACCAGAGACCUUCCUGUUCUCCUUUCCCAGCAGCUACUUACAGCUUGAAGGGUCCAAUUGUGCUCUUUCUUCCUAGUUUUCUAGUUAACCGUCAAUUGAGUCCAGCUUCCAGCAGCCAGAAUGAUGCACUUCAUGGUGAUAGAUAAAAAUCCCAUGCUCAAGAACAAGUAAGAGCAUUGUCUACAAUUUCAAGAUGCUCUCAGAGGAAGUAAACAAGCUGACAUGUAGACGUGGAAUUAAAACCCCUCUUCUUUCCCCCCUUCCAUGUGACUGCAAGAGGCAUAUGACUUCCAUAACUUCAUCGCUCAUUAACCACUGAUGGCAGGACACAAUUGAGUGAGUGUUUGUGGAACUUGCCCCACAUAUUCCAGUCUCAGUCCUCGGUCUCUGGCUGUUGGGCAGAUCUUCUCCUGUUUCAGAUAGCUUCGCCCUGCCUGACAACAGACCGUGAGGAACUUCACAUGAGAGUCCCGUGUAAGGAACUAUGGGAUACAAAGGCCAGUUAUGUCCAUUUAAAUCCCUUAACAAGCACCGCAACAAACAAAAGACAGAUUAGCAUGAUUUACCAUGCUGCUAUUAUUAAAUUACCUCAUCUACACAUGAGCCAACAAUUGAGUUACUUUUAUAGAUGUGUACAGACAGUGGAAUAGCUAUGAAAAAGCACUGGGUAUUCUUUGUUCAUUAAUAUGUUUUGUACAGAAGGCUUUGUUAGGUCAGGAACGGAUCGAGUAACCUAUUGUUUAGACCAAAAUUCAUAGCCUAUGAGUCAGAGGUAUCUUUAAAAACCAAUAUUACCUAUUAGCAUUAAGCGCAUGCAUGAAAAACGACUUUAGGCUAGUCAUAGUCCGGGCUUGACUGGAAUCUCAUUUAAAAAGCACUGUAUUUUAUAUAAAAUAUAAUUAAAAUAUUGAUGGUGAAUAUUUUAUAAUGACGCUGAUAACGAUAAAACAAUAAAGAGAAAACGACCAAAAUCAUAUUGUUGUCUGUGGUUUGUGUGUAAAUAAAAACUGAUGCUAUAAUGCCACCUAGUGGUAAGCUUCAUGCAACCAAUGACCAUCAGUCCGUUGUCGUAUUAAGGCCUGUGAUUCCUCCACUGCUCUAGUUUCAUUCAGCUCAUACAUUCACAUAAAGGCAACAAGCUCUAUUAAUGAACUUGAUGUCAUUUCUGUGUAAUGCUGAGAAUGAGAGCGAGGAUAAGCAUUAGACCUAGAGAAAGGACACACACCAUUUAUGAGGAGACUUUUAAGGACAAAGGGUGGGGGAGCUAGAUUUCCUUUUUGGCCUAGAAAAGAAAACACAAGCUUUGCCAGCUUCAGAAUUCUCAUCAUUCCCUGGAUAUUAACACAUUCAUUUUA
Long non-coding RNA from Megalobrama amblycephala (Wuchang bream), 2594 nucleotides. RefSeq lists it as uncharacterized. The transcript is spliced from 2 exons. The record is from RefSeq and is a predicted model, not a curated record. NCBI's taxonomy places the organism in Eukaryota, Metazoa, Chordata, Actinopteri, Cypriniformes, Xenocyprididae.